RNAcentral lists this ribosomal RNA (1393 nucleotides) under Micromonospora globbae. RNAcentral describes it as "partial 23S ribosomal RNA". It matches the Rfam family "Bacterial large subunit ribosomal RNA", at positions 1553 to 2925 of the family's 2925-position model. The record is from RNAcentral. Lineage: Bacteria; Bacillati; Actinomycetota; Actinomycetes; Micromonosporales; Micromonosporaceae.
AGGCUGAGACGUGAUGCCGAGCCGAUUCAGGUGAAGUCAGUGAUCCUAUGCUGCCGAGAAAAGCCUCUAGCGAGUUCCGAGCGGCCCGUACCCCAAACCGACACAGGUGGUCAGGUAGAGAAUACCGAGGCGAUCGGGCGAACUGUGGUUAAGGAACUCGGCAAAUUGCCCCCGUAACUUAGGGAGAAGGGGGGCCGGAGACGUGAAGCCCCGCGCGGGUGGAGCGUUGUAUGGCCGCAGAGAGCAGGGGGAAGCGACUGUUUACUAAAAACACAGGUCCAUGCGAAGAAGUAAUUCGAUGUAUAUGGACUGACGCCUGCCCGGUGCUGGAACGUUAAGGGGACCUGUUAGCUCUUUCGGGGGCGAAGCGGAGAACUUAAGCGCCAGUAAACGGCGGUGGUAACUAUAACCAUCCUAAGGUAGCGAAAUUCCUUGUCGGGUAAGUUCCGACCUGCACGAAUGGCGUAACGACUUCCCCACUGUCUCAACCACAGGCCCGGCGAAAUUGCACUACGAGUAAAGAUGCUCGUUACGCGCGGCAGGACGGAAAGACCCCGGGACCUUUACUACAGCUUGACAUUGGUAUCCGGAUUGGCUUGUGUAGGAUAGGUGGGAGCCGGUGAAGCUCGUACGCCAGUGCGGGUGGAGGCAAUCUUGAAAUACCACUCUGGUUGAUUUGGGUAUCUAACUUCGGACCGUUAUCCGGUUCAGGGACAGUGUCUGGUGGGUAGUUUAACUGGGGCGGUUGCCUCCUAAAGGGUAACGGAGGCGCCCAAAGGUUCCCUCAGCCUGGUUGGCAAUCAGGUGUUGAGUGCAAGUACACAAGGGAGCUUGACUGUGAGACUGACGGGUCGAGCAGGGACGAAAGUCGGGACUAGUGAUCCGGCACUUGCGUGUGGAAGCGGUGUCGCUCAACGGAUAAAAGGUACCCCGGGGAUAACAGGCUGAUCUUCCCCAAGAGUCCAUAUCGACGGGAUGGUUUGGCACCUCGAUGUCGGCUCGUCGCAUCCUGGGGCUGUAGCAGGUCCCAAGGGUUGGGCUGUUCGCCCAUUAAAGCGGUACGCGAGCUGGGUUUAGAACGUCGUGAGACAGUUCGGUCCCUAUCCGCCGUGCGCGUAGGAUACUUGAGAAGGGCUGUCCCUAGUACGAGAGGACCGGGACGGACGAACCUCUGGUGUGCCAGUUGUCCCGCCAGGGGCACGGCUGGUUAGCUACGUUCGGAAGGGAUAACCGCUGAAAGCAUCUAAGCGGGAAGCUCGCUUCAAGAUGAGGUAUCCCACCACUAUUAGUGGGUAAGGCCCCCAGCUAGACGACUGGGUUGAUAGGCCGGAGAUGUAAGCUCGGUAACGGGUUCAGUCGACCGGUACUAAUAGGCCGAGGACUUGACUUACAA